Cyanistes caeruleus (blue tit) is the source of this 300-nucleotide long non-coding RNA. NCBI's taxonomy places the organism in Eukaryota, Metazoa, Chordata, Aves, Passeriformes, Paridae. The record is from Ensembl.
AUGGGGAGCAGGGACAGCAGAGCACAGUGCCUUGGACGGCUGACGUGGCCCUGCCGAGCCCCGGGCGCUGUGAGGGGAUCCUGUGACGGUGACCCGGCCGGAGCUGGUGAGCUGUGGACAGGCUGUUUCCCAGCAAUCCACUUACCUCUCUGUGAACACAAAUGCUUAACCAAAAACCUAGUCUGGGUGGAAUUUGGAGAGAACCUGAAACGAGUCUGGAAGAUUGCAGAUGCUGUUUCCAAAUCACAGAAUAUUCUGUACUGGAAAGGACCCACAAGGACAGUCAAGCCCAACUCCUAA